This 393-nucleotide ribosomal RNA is filed under the name uncultured bacterium. Its description in RNAcentral is "bacterial SSU rRNA". It matches the Rfam family "Bacterial small subunit ribosomal RNA", at positions 28 to 417 of the family's 1533-position model. The record is from RNAcentral.
GACGAACGCUGGCGGCGUGCCUAACACAUGCAAGUCGAGCGAAUGAAGUUCCUUCGGGAACGGAUUUAGCGGCGGACGGGUGAGUAACACGUGGGCAACCUGCCUCAUAGAGGGGAAUAGCCUUCCGAAAGGGAGAUUAAUACCGCAUAAGAUUGUAGUACCGCAUGGUACAGCAAUUAAAGGAGCAAUCCGCUAUGAGAUGGGGCCCGCGGCGCAUUAGCUAGUUGGUGAGGUAACGGCUCACCAAGGCGACGAUGCGUAGCCGACCUGAGAGGGUGAUCGGCCACAUUGGGACUGAGACACGGCCCAGACUCCUACGGGAGGCAGUAGUGGGGAAUAUUGCACAAUGGGGGAAACCCUGAUGCAGCAACGCCGCGUGAGUGAUGACGGCCU